ACAACAAACCCAACACAGUACAACAUUAAUCAACCUCAUUUCACUUCUCAAUCUCAAACACAUUCCUAGAUUCAUUUGUUUUCAUCUCACAAACAACAAACACAUGUUCAUGUUUCUUAACCAUGAAACCACUUCUCUUCAUUCUCUCCCUCUUCCUCUUCUCCACAACCACCAUUACAACCUCAUCAUCUCCCUCUCUUCCUCUCCCACCAACCCCUUCUCCCACAUCAUCACCACCUUCAACCCCUUCAUCAAAAUCCACUCUUGACCCUAAACAAAUCACAGCCCUACAAUCCCUCAACAUCCCAACCUCAAAAGACCCAUGUUCUCAACCUUCCUUCCACAAUGCAACCCUCUGUGACUCCUCCAAACCCUUCCGCCACCUCAUCUCCCUAACCCUCUCCAACUGUUCCUCCUAUGUCUCUCUCUCUUUCACCGCCCUCAAAUCACUCUCUACUCUCACCUCUCUCAACCUCAUCAACUGUCCCAUUUCACCUAUCCACUUCCCUCCCCAACUAAUUUCAUCUCUCAGAACAUUCA
RNAcentral lists this long non-coding RNA (540 nucleotides) under Lathyrus oleraceus (garden pea). RNAcentral describes it as "Pisum sativum (pea) long non-coding RNA (PSAT_LNC003802)". The record is from RNAcentral. Lineage: Eukaryota; Viridiplantae; Streptophyta; Magnoliopsida; Fabales; Fabaceae.